UGUAGUCUGCAACCCGGCUACAUGAAGCUGGAAUCGCUAGUAAUCGCGGAUCAGAAUGCCGCGGUGAAUACGUUCCCGGGUCUUGUACACACCGCCCGUCACACCAUGGGAGCCGGAAAUGCCCGAAGUCAGUGACCCAACCGCAAGGAGGGAGCUGCCGAAGGUGGAGCUGGUAACUGGGGUGAAGUCGUAACAAGGUAUC
This 202-nucleotide ribosomal RNA is filed under the name uncultured bacterium. RNAcentral describes it as "partial 16S ribosomal RNA". It matches the Rfam family "Bacterial small subunit ribosomal RNA", at positions 1299 to 1500 of the family's 1533-position model. The record is from RNAcentral.